RNAcentral lists this ribosomal RNA (495 nucleotides) under uncultured bacterium. RNAcentral's name for it is "partial 16S ribosomal RNA". It matches the Rfam family "Bacterial small subunit ribosomal RNA", at positions 28 to 507 of the family's 1533-position model. The record is from RNAcentral.
GAUGAACGCUGGCGGCGUGCCUAAUACAUGCAAGUAGAACGCUGAAGGAGGAGCUUGCUCUUCUGGAUGAGUUGCGAACGGGUGAGUAACGCGUAGGUAACCUGCCUGGUAGCGGGGGAUAACUAUUGGAAACGAUAGCUAAUACCGCAUGACAACAGUUAUUGCAUGAUAACUGUUUAAAAGGGGCAACUGCUCCACUACCAGAUGGACCUGCGUUGUAUUAGCUAGUUGGUGAGGUAACGGCUCACCAAGGCGACGAUACAUAGCCGACCUGAGAGGGGGAUCGGCCACACUGGGACUGAGGCACGGCCCAGACUCCUACGGGAGGCAGCAGUAGGGAAUCUUCGGCAAUGGACGGAAGUCUGACCGAGCAACGCCGCGUGAGUGAAGAAGGUUUUCGGAUCGUAAAGCUCUGUUGUAAGAGAAGAACGAGUGUGAGAGUGGAAAGUUCACACUGUGACGGUAUCUUACCAGAAAGGGACGGCUAACUACGUG